GUACACUCCUGCGGGAGGCAGCAGUGGGGAAUAUUGCACAAUGGGCGCAAGCCUGAUGCAGCCAUGCCGCGUGUAUGAAGAAGGCCUUCGGGUUGUAAAGUACUUUCAGCGGGGAGGAAGGCGAUAAGGUUAAUAACCUUGUCGAUUGACGUUACCCGCAGAAGAAGCACCGGCUAACUCCGUGCCAGCAGCCGCGGUAAUACGGAGGGUGCAAGCGUUAAUCGGAAUUACUGGGCGUAAAGCGCACGCAGGCGGUCUGUCAAGUCGGAUGUGAAAUCCCCGGGCUCAACCUGGGAACUGCAUUCGAAACUGGCAGGCUAGAGUCUUGUAGAGGGGGGUAGAAUUCCAGGUGUAGCGGUGAAAUGCGUAGAGAUCUGGAGGAAUACCGGUGGCGAAGGCGGCCCCCUGGACAAAGACUGACGCUCAGGUGCGAAAGCGUGGGGAGCAAACAGGAUUAGAAACCCCGGUAGUCCCAUGA
Molecule: ribosomal RNA, 478 nt
Filed under: uncultured organism
Description: partial 16S ribosomal RNA
Rfam family: Bacterial small subunit ribosomal RNA
Source: RNAcentral